UCAGUUGUGAAAGUUUGCGGCUCAACCGUAAAAUUGCAGUUGAUACUGGGUACCUUGAGUGCAGCAUAGGUAGGCGGAAUUCGUGGUGUAGCGGUGAAAUGCUUAGAUAUCACGAAGAACUCCGAUUGCGAAGGCAGCUUACUGGACUGUAACUGACGCUGAUGCUCGAAAGUGUGGGUAUCAAACAGGAUUAGAUACCCUGGUAGUCCACACAGUAAACGAUGAAUACUCGCUGUUGGCGAUACACAGUCAGCGGCCAAGCGAAAGCAUUAAGUAUUCCACCUGGGGAGUACGCCGGCAACGGUGAAACUCAAAGGAAUUGACGGGGGCCCGCACAAGCGGAGGAACAUGUGGUUUAAUUCGAUGAUACGCGAGGAACCUUACCCGGGCUUAAAUUGCAGUGGAAUGUAGUGGAAACAUUACAGCCUUCGGGCCGCUGUGAAGGUGCUGCAUGGUUGUCGUCASUUCGUGCCGUGAGGUGUCGGCUUAAG
RNAcentral lists this ribosomal RNA (491 nucleotides) under uncultured bacterium. Its description in RNAcentral is "bacterial SSU rRNA". It matches the Rfam family "Bacterial small subunit ribosomal RNA", at positions 588 to 1084 of the family's 1533-position model. The record is from RNAcentral.